RNAcentral lists this ribosomal RNA (995 nucleotides) under Marinococcus sp. RNAcentral describes it as "bacterial SSU rRNA". It matches the Rfam family "Bacterial small subunit ribosomal RNA", at positions 61 to 1017 of the family's 1533-position model. Lineage: Bacteria; Bacillati; Bacillota; Bacilli; Caryophanales; Bacillaceae. The record is from RNAcentral.
GUCGAGCGCGGGAAGCCGGCGGACUCCUUCGGGAGGAAACCGGUGGACCGAGCGGCGGACGGGUGAGUAACACGUGGGCAACCUGCCGGACUGAUGGGAAUAACCCCGGGAAACCGGGGCUAAUGCCCAAUACGCCCUGACCUCGCCUGAGGUCAGCGGUAAAGCAGGGAUCUUCGGAUCCUUGCACAGUCCGAUGGGCCCGCGGCGCAUUAGCUAGUUGGAGAGGUAAGGGCUCCCCAAGGCGACGAUGCGUAGCCGACCUGAGAGGGUGAUCGGCCACACUGGGACUGAGACACGGCCCAGACUCCUACGGGAGGCAGCAGUAGGGAAUCAUCCGCAAUGGGCGAAAGCCUGACGGUGCAACGCCGCGUGAGUGAUGAAGGUUUUCGGAUCGUAAAGCUCUGUUGACAGGGAAGAACCCACGCCAGUCGAACAGGCUGGCGUGCUGACGGUACCUGUCCAGAAAGCCCCGGCUAACUACGUGCCAGCAGCCGCGGUAAUACGUAGGGGGCAAGCGUUGUCCGGAAUUAUUGGGCGUAAAGGGCACGCAGGCGGUUUCGUCAGUCCGAUGUGACAGGCCACGGCUCAACCGUGGAAGGCCAUUGGAAACUGCGAAACUUGAGGACAGAAGAGGAGAGUGGAAUUCCACGUGUAGCGGUGAAAUGCGUAGAUAUGUGGAGGAACACCAGUGGCGAAGGCGACUCUCUGGUCUGUACCUGACGCUGAGGUGCGAAAGCAUGGGGAGCAAACAGGAUUAGAUACCCUGGUAGUCCAUGCCGUAAACGCUGAGUGCUAGGUGUUAGGGGUUUCGAUACCCGUAGUGCCGAAGCUAACGCAUUAAGCACUCCGCCUGGGGAGUACGACCGCAAGGUUGAAACUCAAAGGAAUUGACGGGGGCCCGCACAAGCGGUGGAGCAUGUGGUUUAAUUCGACGCAACGCGAAGAACCUUACCAGAUCUUGACAUCUUCCGCUACGCCUCGAGAGAGGCGGUCCC